RNAcentral lists this ribosomal RNA (490 nucleotides) under uncultured bacterium. Its description in RNAcentral is "partial 16S ribosomal RNA". It matches the Rfam family "Bacterial small subunit ribosomal RNA", at positions 30 to 507 of the family's 1533-position model. The record is from RNAcentral.
AUUGAACGCUGGCGGCAGGCCUAACACAUGCAAGUCGAACGGUAACAGGAAGAAGCUUGCUUCUUUGCUGAUGAGUGGCGGACGGGUGAGUAAUGUCUGGGAAACUGCCUGAUGGAGGGGGAUAACUACUGGAAACGGUAGCUAAUACCGCAUAACGUCGCAAGACCAAAGAGGGGGACCUUCGGGCCUCUUGCCAUCGGAUGUGCCCAGAUGGGAUUAGCUAGUAGGUGGGGUAACGGCUCACCUAGUCGACGAUCCCUAGCUGGUCUGAGAGGAUGACCAGCCACACUGGAACUGAGACACGGUCCAGACUCCUACGGGAGGCAGCAGUGGGGAAUAUUGCACAAUGGGCGCAAGCCUGAUGCAGCCAUGCCGCGUGUAUGAAGAAGGCCUUCGGGUUGUAAAGUACUUUCAGCGGGGAGGAAGGGAGUAAAGUUAAUACCUUUGCUCAUUGACGUUACCCGCAGAAGAAGCACCGGCUAACUCCGUG